Molecule: ribosomal RNA, 419 nt
Filed under: uncultured Gemmatimonas sp.
Lineage: Bacteria; Pseudomonadati; Gemmatimonadota; Gemmatimonadia; Gemmatimonadales; Gemmatimonadaceae
Description: bacterial SSU rRNA
Rfam family: Bacterial small subunit ribosomal RNA
Source: RNAcentral
UGGGGAAUAUUGCGCAAUGGCCGCAAGGCUGACGCAGCGACGCCGCGUGUGGGAGGACGCCUUUCGGGGUGUAAACCACUGUUGCCCGGGACGAACACUUCCUUUUGGGGAAGCUGACGGUACCGGGUGAGGAAGCACCGGCUAACUCCGUGCCAGCAGCCGCGGUAAUACGGAGGGUGCGAGCGUUGUCCGGAAUCAUUGGGCGUAAAGGGCGCGUAGGUGGCCCGCUCAGCGUGCGGUGAAAGCUCGGGGCUCAACCCCGAGUCGGCCGUGCGAACUACUGGGCUGGAGCACUGUAGAGGCAGGCGGAAUUCCGGGUGUAGCGGUGGAAUGCGUAGAGAUCCGGAAGAACACCGGUGGCGAAGGCGGCCUGCUGGGCAGUUGCUGACACUGAGGCGCGACAGCGUGGGGAGCAAACA